RNAcentral lists this microRNA (17 nucleotides) under Corchorus olitorius. RNAcentral describes it as "mmu-miR-1196-". Lineage: Eukaryota; Viridiplantae; Streptophyta; Magnoliopsida; Malvales; Malvaceae. The record is from RNAcentral.
GGUGAGGGUGGUUUUGA